RNAcentral lists this ribosomal RNA (497 nucleotides) under uncultured bacterium. RNAcentral's name for it is "partial 16S ribosomal RNA". It matches the Rfam family "Bacterial small subunit ribosomal RNA", at positions 28 to 507 of the family's 1533-position model. The record is from RNAcentral.
GAUGAACGCUGGCGGCGUGCCUAAUACAUGCAAGUCGAGCGAACAGACGAGGAGCUUGCUCCUCUGACGUUAGCGGCGGACGGGUGAGUAACACGUGGAUAACCUACCUAUAAGACUGGGAUAACUUCGGGAAACCGGAGCUAAUACCGGAUAAUAUAUUGCACCGCAUGGUUCAAUAGUGAAAGACGGUUUUGCUGUCACUUAUAGAUGGAUCCGCGCCGCAUUAGCUAGUUGGUAAGGUAACGGCUUACCACGGCAACGAUGCGUAGACGACCUGAGAGGGUGAUCGGCCACACUGGAAGUGAGACACGGUCCAGACUCCUACGGGAGGCAGCAGUAGGGAAUCGUCCGCAAUGGGCGAAAGCCUGACGGAGCAACGCCGCGUGAGUGAUGAAGGUCUUCGGAUCGUAAAACUCUGUUAUUAGGGAAGAACAGAUGUGUAAGUAACUAUGCACGUCUUGACGGUACCUAAUCAGAAAGCCACGGCUAACUACGUG